UGCAGAAUUGUCAGCCAGUCUUGAGAGAUUAGCGGCGUUCGUCUAAACGAGGAAUGAACGGGUGACGAAUCUUUGCGCAAGAAAUGCGUAAAUUACGAAGGUUUGUGAGGAGCGAAUUAUGCAGCAGAAAGAACGUGACUUGGAACUUUUGAUCGAUAGAGAAAAAUUGAGACUGAAAGAGGUUGAAGACGAACAAAAUGUUUCUGUCGAGGAAAAAAAAGAGGACAUAUCCGGCGAGGAUGGAAAUUAUAUCAAUAUUUAUAACGACACGUUCAAUAUUUAUGAAGACACGAAUUGAUUAUUAAUUCAAUUUAUAUAUGUAUAUGCUUAAAAGAAAAAAAAGG
RNAcentral lists this unclassified non-coding RNA (344 nucleotides) under Camponotus floridanus (Florida carpenter ant). RNAcentral's name for it is "uncharacterized LOC112638394, transcript variant X2". The record is from RNAcentral. Lineage: Eukaryota; Metazoa; Arthropoda; Insecta; Hymenoptera; Formicidae.